CUGAGAAAGGCGGAAGCUCGACUAUCGAAGAAAGUGUUCGUCGCAGAGCUUACUAUUCGCAGCGUGGGUCCGAGGCUGAAGGCAAUGCCUUCCGCCGUUGAUGCAAAUACACACCGCGUGGGUAUGCAGUCCAUUUAUACAAACAACACCACCAGGACAUGAGUGAGAACGGUUAAUCAUCGAAACGCGAGCAUCCCAAUUGUGGGUAAAGUCUGUUUCUAUAAUCUAAAUUGUUACCUCCGUAGAUCGUUACCUCGCGGGCUUUGUAUUCUUCAUCCCUGUUGAAAAUUCAGGCACUCUGCUUUGCCUUUGCUAUGAUAUAUUUCACCAUUUUCAUGGA
Tarenaya hassleriana is the source of this 340-nucleotide long non-coding RNA. RefSeq lists it as uncharacterized. The record is from RefSeq and is a predicted model, not a curated record. The transcript is spliced from 2 exons. NCBI's taxonomy places the organism in Eukaryota, Viridiplantae, Streptophyta, Magnoliopsida, Brassicales, Cleomaceae.